RNAcentral lists this ribosomal RNA (479 nucleotides) under uncultured organism. RNAcentral's name for it is "partial 16S ribosomal RNA". It matches the Rfam family "Bacterial small subunit ribosomal RNA", at positions 329 to 799 of the family's 1533-position model. The record is from RNAcentral.
ACGUACACUCCUACGGGAGGCAGCAGUGGGGAAUAUUGCACAAUGGGCGCAAGCCUGAUGCAGCCAUGCCGCGUGUAUGAAGAAGGCCUUCGGGUUGUAAAGUACUUUCAGCGGGGAGGAAGGCAAUACGGUUAAUAACCGUGUUGAUUGACGUUACCCGCAGAAGAAGCACCGGCUAACUCCGUGCCAGCAGCCGCGGUAAUACGGAGGGUGCAAGCGUUAAUCGGAAUUACUGGGCGUAAAGCGCACGCAGGCGGUCUGUCAAGUCGGAUGUGAAAUCCCCGGGCUCAACCUGGGAACUGCAUUCGAAACUGGCAGGCUUGAGUCUUGUAGAGGGGGGUAGAAUUCCAGGUGUAGCGGUGAAAUGCAUAGAGAUCUGGAGGAAUACCGGUGGCGAAGGCGGCCCCCUGGACAAAGACUGACGCUCAGGUGCGAAAGCGUGGGGAGCAAACAGGAUUAGAAACCCGUGUAGUCCCAUG